AAGUCGUAACAAGGUUUCCGUAGGUGAACCUGCGGAAGGAUCAUCAUUGAAUCUAUAAUUACAAACCUUUGUGAAUCAUAUGUAUUAGAGUAUGUUUGGCAGGAUGAUGCGUGGGUGGCUGUUUGCUGCUCGUGCUCGCGUCUCUUCUUUGUGCUUUGCGCAAGGCUGAGUGCCUGCCAGCAUGCUCGUCUUUUAACAAACUUUUUUAAUUAUACACUGAUAAAACAUUAUUAAUAAAAACAACUUUCAACAAUGGAUCUCUUGGCUCUC
Molecule: unclassified non-coding RNA, 270 nt
Filed under: fungal sp.
Lineage: Eukaryota; Fungi
Description: partial internal transcribed spacer region
Rfam family: Eukaryotic small subunit ribosomal RNA (bases 1-46)
Source: RNAcentral